ACACGUAGGGGGCGAGCGUUGUUCGGAAUCAUUGGGCGUAAAGGGCGUGCAGGCGGUCCUGCAAGUCCGGCGUGAAAGACCCCGGCCCAACCGGGGGGACGCGCUGGAAACUGCGGGGCUUGAGUACAGGAGGGGAUGCCGGAAUUCCAGGUGUAGGGGUGAAAUCUGUAGAUAUCUGGAAGAACACCAAUGGCGAAGGCAGGCAUCUGGCCAUGUACUGACGCUGAGACGCGAAGGUGCGGGGAGCAAACAGGUUUAGAUACCCUGGUAGUCCGCACAGUAAACGAUGUGCACCAGGUGGCGGGGGGUCGACCCUCGGUACCGUAGCUAACGCAUUAAGUGCACCGCCUGGGGAGUAUGCUCGCAAGGGUGAAACUCAAAUGAAUUGACGGGG
Molecule: ribosomal RNA, 394 nt
Filed under: uncultured bacterium
Lineage: Bacteria
Description: partial 16S ribosomal RNA
Rfam family: Bacterial small subunit ribosomal RNA
Source: RNAcentral